Cyprinus carpio (common carp) is the source of this 234-nucleotide long non-coding RNA. RefSeq lists it as uncharacterized. Lineage: Eukaryota; Metazoa; Chordata; Actinopteri; Cypriniformes; Cyprinidae. The transcript is spliced from 3 exons. The record is from RefSeq and is a predicted model, not a curated record.
GGGUCAUUUCAAAAUCACACAAGGUCCCAAAAUAAUACUAAUCCCGUACAGGCCUUAAGAGGUUACUAUAUAAUGAGGUAAUCCACACUGUAAGAGGAUACUAUAUAAUGAGGUAAUCUACAAUGUAAGAGGUUACUAUAUAAUGAGGUAAUCCACACUGUAAGAGGUUACUAUAUAAAGAAAAAAUUAACUUUAAGCACUUCAGUGGGAUAAGUGCACAGCUUUUAGUCAAAC